AAGGAAGGGCGGAGAGCCAAGUGGAU
Molecule: transfer RNA, 26 nt
Filed under: Calanthe mannii
Lineage: Eukaryota; Viridiplantae; Streptophyta; Magnoliopsida; Asparagales; Orchidaceae
Description: partial tRNA-His
Source: RNAcentral